RNAcentral lists this ribosomal RNA (403 nucleotides) under Verrucomicrobiota bacterium. RNAcentral describes it as "Verrucomicrobia bacterium partial 16S ribosomal RNA". It matches the Rfam family "Bacterial small subunit ribosomal RNA", at positions 355 to 776 of the family's 1533-position model. Lineage: Bacteria; Pseudomonadati; Verrucomicrobiota. The record is from RNAcentral.
UGGGGAAUCUUGCACAAUGGGGGCAACCCUGAUGCAGCGACGCCGCGUGAGCGAUGAAGGUUUUCGAAUCGUAAAGCUCUGUCCUAUGGGAAGAUAAUGACGGUACCAUAGGAGGAAGCCCCGGCUAACUACGUGCCAGCAGCCGCGGUAAUACGUAGGGGGCGAGCGUUGUCCGGAAUUACUGGGCGUAAAGGGUUCGCAGGCGGCAUGGCAAGUCCGAUGUAAAAGGCGAAGGCUCAACCUUCGUAAGCAUCGGAAACUGUCAAGCUUGAGUGAAGGAGAGGCAAGUGGAAUUCCUAGUGUAGCGGUGGAAUGCGUAGAUAUUGGGAGGAACACCAGUAGCGAAGGCGGCUUUCUGGACUGCAACUGACACUGAGGCACGAAAGCGUGGGUAGCAAACAGG